This 972-nucleotide unclassified non-coding RNA is filed under the name Hevea brasiliensis (rubber tree). The record is from RNAcentral. Lineage: Eukaryota; Viridiplantae; Streptophyta; Magnoliopsida; Malpighiales; Euphorbiaceae.
GAAGUGUUCACCUGAUACUUGAAUGGUCUCUUUGCACGUACCCAUACUAGGAAUCUUUUCUCCAUUUGCCACUGCCACUUGUAAAGCACUUUGAGAAUCCAGGGUUGCUCCCAAUUUUUGUGCCGCAAUUUUGCUGAUGAAGUUAUGGGUGCUACCUGAAUCGAUUAAUACUGUGACUAAACAACCUCUGAUGUUGGCUAUUAAUUGCAUAGUCCGAGAAUGUUGGAGGCUGGUGAUGGCAUGCAGGGAGAUGGUUGGUUCAGCAACUGCGACAUUCUCACUUUCCUCUGUCUCGGUUAUAGCUCCCUCUUCCAAUUCAAGUCAAAACAACUUUUUGCAUUGAUGGCCGAAUGUGUAUGGCUCAUCACAAUUAUAACAAAGUCCCUUUGCCCUCCGAUCAUCCAUUUUAGUUCUGGAUAACCUUUUGACGAAGGGUGUGGUUAUACUUUCCCCCCUAGAAGCUGGCGCAUUAUUCCCUCCUGAACCUGUUGGUUUUGUUACAGAUUGAGUAGGUGCAGUAAUUUUGGAAUUAUUCCAGAAGUUGCGUCAGCUGUUGUUCACACUUGCUAGUUGCUGCUUCUUCUCAAAGGCCCUCGCCAAGUUCAUUGCAGUCCCCAAAUUGGGCGGAUUUUGCAUCUCCACAUCCAAACGAAUCGCCUCAGAUAAUCCUGUAGUAAAAAAAUUGACCUGUUGAUCUGUACGAACUGAAUCAACACGAGCUAGCAAGCUUUGAAACUGUUUCUGGUAUUCCUCCACUGUCCCUGUUUGCUUCAAGUUGAUCAGUUCCCCGAGAGGAUUACCUCUCAGUAAUGGCCCGAACCUUAGAUUGCAGUAUUCUUUAAAAGAAUGCCAAACCAGGUCUGCUUCCUCUUGUUCCAACUUGUAAAACCAUAAUUGCGCCUCCCCAGUCAUAUGAAAAGCUGAGAGACUGACAUUCUCUGUUUCUGGUGUCUUCUGAUUAAGAAAAAAUUG